CGUUAAAACCCAAAGGCACAAUGAAAGUAAAGGGGGCUCUGCCCUCCGAGGGAUGAUGGUUGUCUCGGCCGCCGUCGCUGCGGCGUCGGUGGACGGGGCGGCCCGCAAUCCCGGGGCGUCUCUGGCUCAUCGCGAGCGGAGGCGCACCCAGAGCGCACGCGUUGGGACCCGAAAGAUGGUGAACUAUGCCUGGCCAGGACGAAGCCAGGGGAAACCCUGGUGGAGGUCCGUAGCGAUUCUGACGUGCAAAUCGAUCGUUAGAGCUGGGUAUAGCGGCGAAAGACCAAUCGAACCAUCUAGUAGCUGGUUCCCUCCGAAGUUUCCCUCAGGAUAGCUGGCUCUCAUGAGAUACGAGUCUCAUCUGGUAAAGCGAAUGAUUAGAGGCCUUGGGGUCGAAACGACCUCAACCUAUUCUCAAACUUUAAAUGGAUGAGAACCCCGGCUUGCUUGACUCUGCCUGUGAAGCCGGGGCUCGGAUUCGAGUGCCAAGUGGGCCAAUUUUG
RNAcentral lists this ribosomal RNA (503 nucleotides) under Speovelia maritima. RNAcentral describes it as "eukaryotic LSU rRNA". It matches the Rfam family "Eukaryotic large subunit ribosomal RNA", at positions 699 to 1139 of the family's 3401-position model. Lineage: Eukaryota; Metazoa; Arthropoda; Insecta; Hemiptera; Mesoveliidae. The record is from RNAcentral.